This 194-nucleotide ribosomal RNA is filed under the name uncultured bacterium. RNAcentral's name for it is "partial 16S ribosomal RNA". It matches the Rfam family "Bacterial small subunit ribosomal RNA", at positions 335 to 526 of the family's 1533-position model. The record is from RNAcentral.
ACUCCUACGGGAGGCAGCGGUGAGGAAUAUUGGGCAAUGCCCGAAAGGGUGACCCAGCAACGCCGCGUGGAGGAUGAAUGCCGUAAGGUUGUAAACUCCUGUUAGAGGGGAAGAAUAAUUCCGAUCGACUCGGAAAUUGACUGUACCCUCAGAGAAAGCCCCGGCUAACUACGUGCCAGCAGCCGCGGUAAUAC